Salvia splendens (bonfire salvia) is the source of this 5643-nucleotide RNA transcript. RefSeq lists it as uncharacterized. The record is from RefSeq and is a predicted model, not a curated record. The transcript has 5 exons. Lineage: Eukaryota; Viridiplantae; Streptophyta; Magnoliopsida; Lamiales; Lamiaceae.
UCCCUCUGCCGGAUCUGCCCGCCUCCAAUCAAACUGAACACGACGCCGUUCCCAAUUCAUCUCUCUCUCUCUAAUUUCUCCUUCUCAACUGUAUCCCGCUGCUCUCUCUCUAGAAUCUCCGCUGCUCUCUCUCCAUCUCUGUCGAAAAAGUACCGCAGGUUUUACACUCGAAUUGGAUUUGUUCCAGCUUUUGAAAGUUUGGUGAAUAAGGGUUUCUCUGUAAUUGGAGGGAUCUGUUUCACGGUGGUUGAAUUGGCGAUUUGGGUUUCUGGAUAUUGUGAAGAUUGGGGGUUUUGAUGGAGCGUGUUAAUCUGGUGAGCAAUUGUAAUCCGAGGGUUUGAUGCUUGAAAUUGGGGAAUCGGGUGGUGUAAGAAUUGGGGAAAAUGCAAGAUACAGUGUCUUAUUAUGCAUGGGAGGAUUCAGCGCGACAACGAGAGCUCUAGAAGUUUAAAGAGGAGUCGUAGUAAGCAUAUGCGGUCAGUCCCUCCGUUGUCGACUGCCGAUAAAGCUGUAGCUUCCGCCGGAGAUAAUCAUUCUCCUGUUGGCUCUUCUAUCACAACCUCCACCACUGGUAGUUCGUUCUUCAAGGACGGUCGUAAGAUUAGCAUUGGAGAUUGUGCUCUUUUCAACCCACUUAACAAUUCUCCACCCUUCAUUGGUUUGAUACGUUGGUUGGCAUUGGGCAAAGAGAAUAACCUGCAGCUAGGGGUAAACAGGCUCUAUCGAUCAUCUGAGCUGAAGCUUGGAAAAGGGCUUUUACCAGACAGUGUUCCAAACGAGACCUUCUAUUCCUUUCACAAGGAAGCAAUUCCUGCUGCAUCACUCCUCCAUCCUUGUAAAGUUGCUUUUCUUCCUAGAGGUGCAGAACUUCCUACUGGGACAUCCUGCUUUGUUUGUCGACGUGCCUAUGACAUUGGGAAGAAGUGUUUAUGGUGGCUAACAGAUCAAGACUACAUUAAUGAGCAACAAGAAGAAGUAGAUAAGCUUUUAUACCAAACUAAAAAAGAGAUGCAUGUGACAAUACACCCUAGUGGCCGUUCUCCAAAGCAGGCCACAACUCCAACCUCAACCUCACAACUGAAACCAUCUUCUGAUAGUGGUCAAAAUAGUGGGACUUCUAUACCAUCUCAAAACAAGGGAAAGAAGAGGCGAAGAGUUGAUCAUGGUGCAGAUCCUGUAAAACGAGAACGGUCCUCUAGGACUGAUGAAGGUGAUUCUGGUCUGUGUAGAAAAGAAAGUAAUUUAAGAUAUGAGAUUGCACGAAUAACAGAAAAUGGUGGAGUUGCGGAUGUAAAGGGGGUUGAGAAGCUCGUUCAGUUGAUGCAAUCAGAUCAAACCGAGAGAAAAAUUGACUUGGUUAACCGUAUCAUGUUCGCAAGAGCAAUGGCUUCCACCGAUAAGGCUGAUUGUCUCAAUCGGUUUGUGGAGUUAAGAGGUGUUCUUGUAAUGGAUGAGUGGUUGCAGGAUAUUCAUAAAGGGAAGAUUCAUAAUGGUAACCCAAAGGAUGGUGAUAAAUCUGCAGAGGAUUUUCUUUUGAUUUUACUUCGUGCACUGGAUAAACUCCCAAUUAGUCUUCAUGCCCUCCAAAUGUGCAACAUAGGCAGAUCUGUGAAUCAUUUAAGAUCACAUAAAAAUACCGAUAUUCAGAGGAAGGCCCGAACUCUAGUCGACACAUGGAAGAAGCGCGUUGAAGCUGAAAUGAUGAGCAUUGAUACGAAGUCUGCAUGGUCCUCCAAAUCACGACUCCCAGAGGCUUCUCAUGGUGGAAGCAUUACUCCUAGUGGGUCUGAUGUUGCCAUGAAAAGCUCUAUUACACAGAACUCUGCUAUAAAACCUACUUCUGUAAAAUCUUCACAUGGGGAAACUACCGCAAAGUAUGUCUCGUCCCCUGGGCAUGUGAAGCAAGCUUCAUCUCUUGCAUCUGGAAAGGAGAGCCAGUCCAGAACUUCUGUUGGGGGUACUACCGAUGCCCAUCAAAAUAGAGAGGACAGAAGUAGUAGCUCAAACCAGUCUCAUAAUUGUGGUCAAUCUUCCUCAUCCAAGGAAAAUUUAAAGAGUUCUGCUUCUGGUUCGGGGACGGUUAAUAAAGUGUCAUCUAGCACACGAACUCGAAAAUUUAGCAGUUCUUCAGGAAGAUCGACAUCUGGAAGUCCGAAAGAAACAAACUCUAAGAAGAAUUCUUCUGCACACAAAAGCAUAGCUAAACAGAAGUUUUACUCUGCGUUAACUAGUGAAAGGGUUGUUGCGAGGCCUAUCAAUGAAGGAAGUAGCCAUAAGCUAAUUGUUAAGUUACCGAACAGGAUAAGAAGCCCUGCACAAGGUGCCAAUGGGGGAUCUCUUGAAGUUCCUACAGUUAUGAGCAGUCGAGCUUCCUCUCCUGUGGCUAAGCACGAGCAGCAUGAUGAUCCUUUAAAGGGCGAGAAUGGUUUAUAUGAAUGUAAUGCUGUUGCGGACAUGAAGACAUGUCAGACCAGUGAUCUAAAAGACGCGUUGACUGGAUCAGAAGGUGCUGGGUCGCCAGCAGUUCCUCCUGAUGAAGAGCAAAGCAUGACAACUGAAGACUCCAAGAGAACAAUUGAAGGCCCUACUGCAACUUUACCGAAGUUGGUGAAGUCGCAUUCUUCUUUCAGUCCCAUGAAUGCUUUAAUUGAAAGCUGUGCUAAAUAUUCUGAAGCAACUUCUUCUUUGUCACGUGAAGAUGACGUUGGAAUGAACUUACUUGCUAGUGUGGCUGCUGGUGAGUUAUCUAGAUCUGAUGUGGGUUCUCCUGCUAAUUCUACUGAAAGAAGUAUACCUAUUGCCGAUGAAGUUUGCAAUGGCAGUGAAGCAAAAUCUAAGUUUUCCGUUGAAGAUUCUGUUGCUUGUAAGGGCAAACAACAUGCUGGUGUAGAAGGUUGCUCCUGGUCAAAUGAUAGAUCACAUUUGUCCAGAAAUGCAUCACCUGAGGUUUCUGGUGACAGAAAGUGUUCGCCGUCAUAUUCUUCCAGAGAUGUUUCAGCUGGAGAAGGCACAAGGGACUUUGUUUCCUCAAGUACAGAUUUGAGAAGUAAUGCUGAUGUUAAGUUGGAGGCUGAGGAGAGACCUAAUAUAAAGACAGUUGCCGUUCCCAUCUCCUUGGAGAAGGUGAGAGAGAGUGAAUCUGGUCAAGGUAAUCAUGAGGAAAAGGCCACUACCUGCAAGGAGAUCUCUGAUAUUCCAAAAUGCAGUAGUGGUGGAACCGAUGUCAUGGUUACUGAGGAGAAAUGCGGUACUGGUUAUUUUAGUACUGGUGAGUGUAAGCCAAUGGCUGGAGACGAGGACUCAGAUCCUUUGCUUGAAGGUGACUGCAUCAAGCUAGAGAAUGAAAGAUUGAGCAGGUGCAAUUUUCAGCAGAAAGUAACAGCGGCAGUUGUAAAGUCUGAACAUAGAGAGAGUAAUGAAAAGCUGUACCAAACUGGAUGGUGCCAUAAACCAGUUCCAGAACUUGGUGAGGCGGUAAAAGUAAGAGAACCAGAUGACAUGUAUGCUAAGAGUUGCAUGAGCAAAUCUGAACAGCUGGACGUUGAUGAAGAUGUUGAUAUGAGUGCAGUUAAGGAGAGCCAUAGUGCUGCUGUUGUCUGUUCAAUAUCACAUGAUUUGAACAAUAAUGUUGAAGAGACCAAUGUAGGAAACCAGGCAACUCUGGAGCAAAUUUCCCCUCCUCAGAGAAGAUGUCCUAUUUCUGUGGACUUUGAAGGCCAGAAAGAAGUUAAGUUAAUUCGGUUUGCAUCUGCUAGCAAACAACAAGAUGAGGCAGACAAGUUUGCUUCCACUUGUGAUGGGGCUGCUUCUUGUAUUGCUGAAGGAACAGCAGUUCCAGGUGCCAAAAUAAAGUUUGACUUGAACGAAUUUAGUAGUGAGGAUGUGAAAUGUGGGGAUUCUCUCAAUAAAUCAUCACCUACUUUGUCCAUUGUUCAUAUGAACUCAUUGGCAAUCCCAACGAGCUCUAUAAUUGAUGGAAACUCUGCAUCUGUUACCAUAGCAGCUGCCGCAAAAGGUCCAUUUGUUCCCCCGGAGAACUUGUUGAGAAGUAAAGUGGAACUUGGCUGGAAGGGAUCUGCUGCUACAAGUGCAUUUCGGCCCGCUGAACCCAAAAGAAGUCUUGAAAUGCCGUUAGGUCUAACUAAUUUGUCUUGCUCUGAUUCUUCCACCAGUAAGCAUGACCGUAUUGCACUGGAUUUUGAUCUAAAUGUAGCAGAUGAAAGAGUUCUUGAGGAAAUGGCUUCUAGUGGUUCUGCUUUGGUAGUUGGCUCAACAACUGAGCCAGCAAGCAAUUGUGCUAAUGAUGCAUCAGAUUUUUUGCCUGUUCGUGGUUCUUGCGUUCUGGAUUUUGAUUUGAACAGAGUUGAUGAAACAAAUGAUAUUGGGAUCUGCUCCACCAGCAGCAAAUGUGAUGGACAGCCUUCUAUUAUGCAUGAGAAACCAUUAGGUGGUUUUCAUGUUCAGAGGGAUUUUGAUCUCAAUAAUGGACCUGUGGCUGAUAAUGCUGGCGUGAACCAGUUUAUGGGUAAUCAACUAGUCAAUGGUAAUUUCACAUCGCAGCCGCCUUCUGCGGGUGUUAGAAUGAACGGUCCAGUGCUGAGCAGUUUCUCAUCCUGGUUUCCUUCUGGUGGUAUUUACUCUACAGUAACAGUCCCAUCAAUAUUACCUGAACGAAUGGAGCAGCCCUUUCCAAUGUUUCCACCUGGUGCACCCCAGCCAAUAUAUGGGUCCGCAGGUGUCAGCCCAUUCAAUCCUGAUAUGUACCGCGGAUCAGUGUUGUCUUCGUCACCUACAGUGCCUUAUGGGACUAAUUCUUUCCAAUUCCCAGUCUUUCCUUUUGGAACUUCUUAUCCUCUCCCUUCAACUCCUUUUACAGUUGGAGCAACAUCAUAUGUGGAUUCCUCUUCUGGUGCAAGGUUCUUUGCUCCUCCAGUAAAUUCACAAUAUCUGGGUCCCAUUGGUUCUUUUGCAUCCCAAUUUCAAAGGCCAUAUAUGGUCAGCCUUCCUGACAUUAGCAAUAAUGGUGGGCUGGAGAGCAACAGAAAGUGGGGUAGACAGGGUCUUGACCUUAAUGCAGGUCCUGGGGUCAUAGAAAGUGAAGUAAGAGAUGAAAUAUUGCCUCUAUCAUCUGGUUAACUUUCUGUUGCCAGUUCGCAGGCUCUACUGAAGGAGCAGGCCCGGAUGUUCUGCCUCAGGUAAUAUUUAGAAGAGGAAAGAGCCUGAUCGGAGCUGGGACGAUACCUUCAGAGAUAGGCAGCCCUCUUUGCAGUAGAAUGUAACAUUGAAUAUACCAGUUGCCAAAAUGCUGUCUAUUACUGCAGAGUUUCAUGGCUGUUGUAGUUGUUUGUCCCAAUUACGGAUGUUGUUGCUGCAGAAAGCACUAAUUUUGCAGCCUAGUUAUGGAAGUUUGAUACGGUGACUAGUUUGGUGCAACAUCCUGACUAUCCUCAGGCAGAUGGUUUUGGACCGAUAGAUUGGAUUUUGACCCUCCUAAGGAAACGAGCUAUGCUCAUGUUCUGUUCAUGUUUUCGGCCUAUCUUUAUCUCCUGCAUAUGAACUUGUGUUCUUGCUCUAGCAGGGACUGGUUUUGUGAUGAUGAUGGGAAUCUUAUUGCCAUGAAGACUAAUGUAUUAAUGUCGUUUA